CUGACGACAGAAAUGAUUUGAUGUACGAUGUGAGUCUAAAUGUAGUUUUCAUGCAGAUUCGUUCAUACGACACAAAGACACACUUUUGUUUUACGGAUCAUUUCAUCUUAGAGGACUGGGGUCAGAAGCUCAGGAAAAGUACAAAACUGCUCACAUAGGCACCAAACAGUAUUGAAAGGGCCUUCGGGUUUUGGAAGCGAACCUUUCAUGUCCUUCAUGGUGAGAUUGGAAUGAAGCCUGCCAAGGUCAGCCGCAUCAUCAUUGCCUGUGCUGUUCUUCAUAAUCUGCGGUUGAUGUGGGGUAACCAGCAGUGGAUCCGGAACCUUUAGAAGAGGUUGCCAAGGGAGAAAUGUUUCAGGCUGUAUCGGAUGGGAGAAGAGUAAGAGAUACCAUUAUCGCAAAUUACUUUACUUAUGAAAUUAACAGAUUAAAUAUAAAUGUUUUCAUUAUAUUUGUGCUUGUAUAUC
Dreissena polymorpha is the source of this 467-nucleotide long non-coding RNA. RefSeq lists it as uncharacterized. The record is from RefSeq and is a predicted model, not a curated record. The transcript is spliced from 3 exons. NCBI's taxonomy places the organism in Eukaryota, Metazoa, Mollusca, Bivalvia, Myida, Dreissenidae.